RNAcentral lists this ribosomal RNA (380 nucleotides) under uncultured cyanobacterium. RNAcentral describes it as "bacterial SSU rRNA". It matches the Rfam family "Bacterial small subunit ribosomal RNA", at positions 376 to 770 of the family's 1533-position model. Lineage: Bacteria; Bacillati; Cyanobacteriota. The record is from RNAcentral.
CGCAAGCCUGACGGAGCAAGACCGCGUGGGGGAGGAAGGCUCAUGGGUUGUAAACCCCUUUUCUCAGGGAAGAACCAAAUGACGGUACCUGAGGAAUCAGCCUCGGCUAACUCCGUGCCAGCAGCCGCGGUAAUACGGAGGAGGCAAGCGUUAUCCGGAAUGAUUGGGCGUAAAGCGUUCGUAGGUGGCUAUUCAAGUCUGCUGUCAAAGACAGAAGCUCAACUUCUGAAAGGCAGUGGAAACUGAGUAGCUGGAGUGCGGUAGGGGCAGAGGGAAUUCCCGGUGUAGCGGUGAAAUGCGUAGAGAUCGGGAAGAACACCGGUGGCGAAAGCGCUCUGCUGGGCCGCAACUGACACUGAGGGACGAAAGCUAGGGGAGCG